RNAcentral lists this unclassified non-coding RNA (477 nucleotides) under Zea mays. Its description in RNAcentral is "misc RNA Zm00001eb097170". Lineage: Eukaryota; Viridiplantae; Streptophyta; Magnoliopsida; Poales; Poaceae. The record is from RNAcentral.
GCCGAUAAGCUCUGCCCCAAAAACAUCGUUGUCCUUUACAUGAAACUCGACUCUGCUAACUGAAUGAGCAACUUGAACAUAGAAGUGUUCAUCCCAUUUAGGGUUCUCCGAGUUGGCAAUGACUCGAGUUUGUGCCACCGUUGCUCCUGACAGACAAACUGAAACGUAUGGAUCACUAGUGAUGAUCUUUCUCAUGUCCGGGUGUGGUGGUUCCGACUUCCCACAAUCAUUGCUGCAAGCUCCAUACCCAGUAAAGCAUUUUCGCAUCCUUUCUGUCAUGAGAUCCAUAUUGGGGAGACAUUUUGCUUCAAUUAUUUGUAUGUCCAAGUCUCCAUGCAACAACAUACUAACCCCAGAUUCAGCUGAGUGCUUCCCCAUUUUAUCACAGUAUAAAAAAGAUCGACCAGACAAUAAAAUGAACCAGAAGCUAAACUUUCAUUAUUCUGGAGAAAACAUCCUUUGCCAACCAAAUCAUAC